GGGCGAUUAGCUCAGUUGGCUAGAGCGCAUCGUUUACACCGAUGAGGCCACAGGUUCGAGUCCUGUAUCGCCCAC
This 75-nucleotide transfer RNA is filed under the name Parcubacteria group bacterium ADurb.Bin216. RNAcentral's name for it is "tRNA-Val". It matches the Rfam family "tRNA". Rfam says of the family: Transfer RNA (tRNA) molecules are approximately 80 nucleotides in length. Their secondary structure includes four short double-helical elements and three loops (D, anti-codon, and T loops). Further hydrogen bonds mediate the characteristic L-shaped molecular structure. tRNAs have two regions of fundamental functional importance: the anti-codon, which is responsible for specific mRNA codon recognition, and the 3' end, to which the tRNAs corresponding amino acid is attached (by aminoacyl-tRNA synthetases). tRNAs cope with the degeneracy of the genetic code in two manners: having more than one tRNA (with a specific anti-codon) for a particular amino acid; and 'wobble' base-pairing, i.e. permitting non-standard base-pairing at the 3rd anti-codon position. RNAcentral also lists the same sequence under 1 other name. The record is from RNAcentral.